GGCUUGCGGCCUAUCAGCUAGUUGGUGGGGUAACGGCCUACCAAGGCGACGACGGGUAGCUGGUCUGAGAGGACGGCCAGCCGGACUGGGACUGAGAUACGGCCCAGACUCCUACGGGGGGCAGCAAUUAGGAAUCUUGCACAAUGGGGGAAACCCUGAUGCAGCGACGCCGCGUGAGGGAGGAAGUCCUUCGGGAUGUAAACCUCUUUUACCAGGGAAGAAACAAAUGACGGUACCUGGUGAAUAAGCUCCGGCUAACUACGUGCCAGCAGCCGCGGUAAUACGUAGGGAGCGAGCGUUGUCCGAAGUUACUGGGCGUAAAGCGCGCGUAGGCGGGUCGUUAAGUGAGAGGUGAAAGGCUGGGGCUCAACCUCAUGCAGUGCCUCUCAUACUGGCGGUCUUGAGUGAGGUAGAGAGAAGUGGAAUGGCUGGUGUAGCGGUGAAAUGCGUAGAUAUCAGUCGGAACACCGGUGGCGAAGGCGGCUUCUUGGGCCUUUACUGACGCUGAGGCGCGAAAGCUGGGGGAGCGAACGGGAUUAGAUACCCCGGUAGUCCCAGCCGUAAACGAUGGAUACUAGGUGUCGGGGGUAUCGACCCCUCCGGUGCCGCAGCGAACGCAUUAAGUAUCCCGCCUGGGGAGUACGGCCGCAAGGUUGAAACUCAAAUGAAUUGACGG
RNAcentral lists this ribosomal RNA (676 nucleotides) under uncultured bacterium. RNAcentral's name for it is "bacterial SSU rRNA". It matches the Rfam family "Bacterial small subunit ribosomal RNA", at positions 228 to 916 of the family's 1533-position model. The record is from RNAcentral.